RNAcentral lists this ribosomal RNA (497 nucleotides) under uncultured bacterium. RNAcentral's name for it is "partial 16S ribosomal RNA". It matches the Rfam family "Bacterial small subunit ribosomal RNA", at positions 28 to 507 of the family's 1533-position model. The record is from RNAcentral.
GACGAACGCUGGCGGCGUGCCUAAUACAUGCAAGUAGAACGCUGAAGAGAGGAGCUUACUCUUCUUGGAUGAGUUGCGAACGGGUGAGUAACGCGUAGGUAACCUGCCUUGUAGCGGGGGAUAACUAUUGGAAACGAUAGCUAAUACCGCAUAACAAUGGAUGACACAUGUCAUUUAUUUGAAAGGGGCAAUUGCUCCACUACAAGAUGGACCUGCGUCGUAUUAGCUAGUAGGUGAGGUAAUGGCUCACCUAGGCGACGAUACAUAGCCGACCUGAGAGGGUGAUCGGCCACACUGGGACUGAGACACGGCCCAGACUCCUACGGGAGGCAGCAGUGGGGAAUCUUCGGCAAUGGGGGCAACCCUGACCGAGCAACGCCGCGUGAGUGAAGAAGGUUUUCGGAUCGUAAAGCUCUGUUGUAAGUCAAGAACGGGUGUGAGAGUGGAAAGUUCACACUGUGACGGUAGCUUACCAGAAAGGGACGGCUAACUGCGUG